RNAcentral lists this long non-coding RNA (692 nucleotides) under Anser cygnoides (Swan goose). Its description in RNAcentral is "lncRNA (ENSACDG00005011295.1)". Lineage: Eukaryota; Metazoa; Chordata; Aves; Anseriformes; Anatidae. The record is from RNAcentral.
GGCAAGGUCUCCAGGAAAUGGGGUGGUGCAAAAGACCCUCCAUGUUGUGCUUUUGUUUCUAAGGCUAUGGUGCCUCUGCUAUCCUUUUGUCUACAUAGACAGAUGAGCUGUUCCAGAUCUACAUAAAAUGGGAGGUGACGUUAUGGGACACGUAUGUCAUUGUCUCAAUUGUUCUUUCUGUUCACUUAUGUUAGCUCUUUUUGUUGGAUCUGUGUGUGGAUGUUGUGGAACAAAGGCCUUUCUCUCCUGCCUCUAAAUGCAUAAAUAUGCAAACCCUUGUUAUUGAUCUGAAAGGAUGUGGUGAAAUUUGCACACUAGAUCUUAACAUCCAACUUGAAUAAUAUCCAAAGCUUCCGUUUGUCCUUCAUAACAUUGUUUAUACAGAUGCACAAUACCUGCCUUCGCUGUGCAAAGGAGAAAGAGGUCUGCUGAGAGCUCCAGUUCAACAGACAACCUCAACAGUCACCUCUCUAUUUAGAAGUCCUGAAGUUGAACUGGCUUAAGUGCAACUACGUAUGGGCUAUACAGGUUUAAAAAAUAAUAAUAAAAAAAGGUUGAGAUGUCUGAAUCAGAUGUCUGAAUCUAGGCAGAUGAGAGGACAAGAAAAUAAUGCCAAAACUGAACUCUUUCAGAAGACAAGAGCCAAAAUGUACCCGGAAGAAAAAAAAAAGAUUAAGAGAGGUUCUGUAUAA